Mytilus californianus (California mussel) is the source of this 565-nucleotide long non-coding RNA. RefSeq lists it as uncharacterized. The transcript has 2 exons. Lineage: Eukaryota; Metazoa; Mollusca; Bivalvia; Mytilida; Mytilidae. The record is from RefSeq and is a predicted model, not a curated record.
UAUUUGUAGAUCUUACUUUGCUGUACAUUAUUGCUGUUUACAGUUUAUCUCUAUCUAUAAUAAUAUUCAAGAUAACAACCAAAAGCUGCAAAAUUUUCUUUAAAUUACCAAUUCAGGGGCAGCAACCCAACAACGUGUUGCCUGAUUGGUCUGAAAAUUUCAGGGCAGAUAGAUCUUGACCUAAUGAACAAUUUUAUCAAUGUCAGAUUUGCUCUAAAUGCUUUGGUUUCAGAGAUAUGAGCCAAUAAAAUGCUCCGCAGGGCGCAGCUUGAUACGACCGCAGAGGUCGAACCCUGAAAGUUGGGGCAAGUAUGGACACAACAUUCAAGCUUGAUACAGCUCUGAAUUUGGAUUGUGAUUAAAUAUUUGACACAGCAUAGGUUUCUGACACAGAAUGAAUGUGGUCUAAGAACUUAAAAAUUUUAAAUUGGCAUUCACCUAUUAUGGUCCAAUAUCCAAAAUCUAAAUACAUGAUUAGAUUCAGCAUAUCAAAGAACCCCAAUAUUUCAAUUUUUGAUGAAAUCAAACCAUAUCAUUAUUAUUUGCUUUUAUAUAUAAAUCAAAU